ACCACUCACCAAUAUAUUUCGUGAUCCACAAACAAAUGUAAUAACAUUCGCAAAUAUAAUUCAUACAUUUCAUGAUCCACAAACAAAUGUAACAACAUUCACAAAUAUAAUUCAUGAUGCACAAAUGAAUGUAACCCCCUUCACAAAUGCCAGCGCAGUUCUAUUAAUUUGCAAACCGGUCUACAUAUAUUCGCAAGCCCUAUACAUAUUUGUGACUUCCAUUGUAUUUGUGUGUGGAUUUUUGAGACUGUCCUGACGGUAUUUGACACACAAAUGUGCUCAGCCAAUCACAUCAGCCGGCGUUCGAGCGUAAGGUUGAAGACAUUGCGCUUCUAUUACGCAGAGAAGGCUACUAGUGCUAAGCCAACAUAGAUCUGUAUAAAUAACUGGAAGUAGAGCCAUUACUGAAGUGCUCCCUGACGUAAACUCGGAAGCGUAUGAAGUUACUGACUUUCACAUCAUCUUUGUACAAAUAUGUCUGGAUCUGGACUAACAUGUGCCGUAAUCGGAUGUCACAAUAACAGCAGAAAGCUAAAAAUGUGGAAAAAGAGCGUAUGUGCGCUUCAUAGUCCACAGUUUAAAGAGGAUUGUCCUUGUUGUGUGCCCUACGGUGUACACCGCUUCCCCGGCCGUGCUGAGGAUGAAGACAUUCGCAAGAUGUGGAUUAAAAACGUACACCGAAAGGACUUUGCCCCCAAACAAGUAUUCAAGGGUGUGUGCGGAGUACACUUCCCUGACGGCAGACCAACGCAGGAACACCCAUAUCCCAUAAUAUGGGAUAUGAAUAUAGUAAAGCACCAUCAUGUGGAAGACCACCCCCAAAGAGGAGAUGUCUCCAGCCCCA
Engraulis encrasicolus (European anchovy) is the source of this 844-nucleotide long non-coding RNA. RefSeq lists it as uncharacterized. Lineage: Eukaryota; Metazoa; Chordata; Actinopteri; Clupeiformes; Engraulidae. The record is from RefSeq and is a predicted model, not a curated record. The transcript is spliced from 3 exons.